RNAcentral lists this ribosomal RNA (373 nucleotides) under uncultured organism. RNAcentral describes it as "partial 16S ribosomal RNA". It matches the Rfam family "Bacterial small subunit ribosomal RNA", at positions 527 to 896 of the family's 1533-position model. The record is from RNAcentral.
GUAGGUGGCAAGCGUUGUCCGGAAUUAUUGGGCGUAAAGCGCGCGCAGGCGGUCCUUUAAGUCUGAUGUGAAAGCCCACGGCCCAACCGUGGAGGGUCAUUGGAAACUGGGGGACUUGAGUACAGAAGAGGAAAGCGGAAUUCCAAGUGUAGCGGUGAAAUGCGUAGAGAUUUGGAGGAACACCAGUGGCGAAGGCGGCUUUCUGGUCUGUAACUGACGCUGAGGCGCGAAAGCGUGGGGAGCAAACAGGAUUAGAUACCCUGGUAGUCCACGCCGUAAACGAUGAGUGCUAAGUGUUAGGGGGUUUCCCGCCCCCUUAGUGCUGCAGCUAACGCAUUAAGCACUCCGCCUGGGGAGUACGGCCGCAAGGCUG